Molecule: long non-coding RNA, 1253 nt
Organism: Pipistrellus kuhlii (Kuhl's pipistrelle)
Lineage: Eukaryota; Metazoa; Chordata; Mammalia; Chiroptera; Vespertilionidae
Exons: 2
Source: RefSeq, a predicted model, not a curated record
AAACCGGUUACAGCAUCCCAUGAAUGUUUUAUAAGAAACUCCUGAGGAAAGAAGCUGGAUUCUCCAAAUAGUGAUGAGAUGAGAUCCUAAGUGGAGACAACAGCCUGCAGCUGACUUAGAGUAUGACCAGACCAGACUAGACUGGAGCAGGUCAGAAGCACUGGAAACAAAUUCAAGAGGAUGAAAUUGGUAGACAACCUAUGUGUUUGAAUAUACUUAGAGGAAGGAUAUUGAUGUACCUGAGAGAAGAGUUUGGAAGAGUCAGACAGCAAAAUAAUCAUAGUAUAGACAGCACAAUAAGAACAGGCUGGCAUGAACCUGUAACCUGAGUUUGCACAACCAGAUGCUCCUCAGAGCCUGAGCAGACAAGCCAAGGACAACCGGUGGGCAGGUCAGAGGAAGGUGAGCCCCUGAAGGGGUCGCUCUCCCUCCGUGUCUGGGUGAGAUUCUCUAGACUCACUCCCUGAGCUCCAACUCCACACCCACCUGAGACCCUUUGGCUCACAUUAGCCCACCUCUUCUGGUGUUUGCAAUCAAACAUCCUAACAGACCUGAUUAGGAUUUGGCAGGGAGUCUCUACCCUCAACCCUUGUUUCACCAGAAUCCCUGGUACAUCUUUUUACCACUGACAUCACACACUGGGGCUGGGACAGGGCAGCGGGGUCCAUGCCAAGCUCCCUGGGGGUUCUGAUCUCAGCCAGGGUGGAGAAGUAUGGCUUUAGGUUGUCUUGGCCGGUGAGUAUAAACCACCACAAUGAGAAAGAGAUGAUGAUUUAUAAAAAAAGAGAAAUAAAAAUAUUGUGGCAGGAUCAUAAACCCUACGUGUUCUUUGGCUGCCUUGAAUUAAGUGGGGACACUUCCCGGAAUCCUGUUUGCUUGGGCAAUUGGAAAAUUCUAGCCAUCACCAAGAAUGGUUUUGUUUUUCUUAGGUAUCUUGACUUCCCUCAGAACCUAGAGCUGAUUGUAGCACCAGGAAAGUAGAUGUGCAUUUCCCUGGGUUGCUAAAUACUCAUUAAAGAGCUAUUCAUCUACUUAUUUGCUCCUAGCUCAGCCCCCGUUUUCCUAUAGCUACUUGUGCCCCAUUCUGGGGCUUGCUGCCCAACCUCUGUGAUCAGGGGCUGGGGCUCCCACUUUCUGCUUUGUUCUUUUGCAGACUGAUAAACCAAUGCUUUUUCCUCUCACCGAUUGCAAAUCAGAAGUCAGGAGAACAUCCAUGCUCAUCAUUCAUUCAUUCAUACUUUUUAAUAAUUUUU